Long non-coding RNA from Macrobrachium nipponense, 1733 nucleotides. RefSeq lists it as uncharacterized. The record is from RefSeq and is a predicted model, not a curated record. NCBI's taxonomy places the organism in Eukaryota, Metazoa, Arthropoda, Malacostraca, Decapoda, Palaemonidae. The transcript has 3 exons.
UUUUUCUCAGACUUCCGCCGUGCAACAUCUUCUCUGGGGUGUCAUGAAGUUAAUGAUUUAACAGUACAUUAAUAAUUAUACUUAAAGGAUUAAAAAGGAGUUAGGGUACCAGCACUUGCAAGUGAACCGCUCCGUAAAUUUUGUGGAUCCUGUGACCCUUGCGCGCACAAAUUCCAUAGAAAGAAGGUGGAGGGAUGUGAAGAGGUUGGUCCCAAAGUAUGGAUGACAGAGAGAGAACGUAUUUUAAGCUGUUCUACAUUGACUACAAAAUUUGCCUACAUUAUUUUCUAUUGGAAGCUGCAUUAUUAUACCCUCCAAGUCCAUAAUAUUCUGAUAUCUACUGGUGUGGAAGGUACCUUUUAUAAUGACAUUUGUCAUAUUUAACUUCGUUAAUUUUGAGAAACUGGGUGCUGCUUAUUUUGUAGUUUAGGAGUAAUGCUAGAGGUAAGUUUGUUCGUUGUAUUCCUCGACUUAUAAUUGGUACAGAUGAGUGAUCUUUGGUUAUUGGUGUCUUGGGAUAAAAAUGAAUAGGUUUUGUGGUUCGUUUUCUGUAGCUGUGCAGUCUUUUAAUGCUAAUGAUGUAUCGCAGAGUUAAAGAUCGUGCCUGUGUUUUGCAAAUCUUUUAUUCUCUGUUCAGAACAUCUUUCUCCAGUCAUUUAUGUUGGAAAUUUGUGGAAUUUUGAGUCUUUCUGGUGUUUCUGAACUAUGCAGUCUCUUGGUUCAGUCUAUUCAAGGGACGUGGUGAAGAAAUUCGUGCCUUCAGGGGUGUUUCUGUCUGGUGCAAAGUCUUUGGUUCAAUGUUUAGUCUGUUCAAGGGAUGUGGUCCAGUUUUACCUUGUGUUGUCUCAGUAGGAGAAGGUAUACAAUUCAUGAUUUUCCCUUUCUCCUCUAUAGCAUUCUUCAAUGAACAAUUAAUAUUUUUUGUAUAUCUUGCCCAUCAUUGUAUCUGACAAUCUUGAAGAUUUUUUCUCUCCAUUUCCCACGAUGACAAAAUACAUAAACUUUGUGGACUUCUUUACCUAUCAGCUACAUUAUCAUGACAGUUUUAUGCUAUGCUAUCAUUUUAGAUGCUGUGUGUUUCUCAAUUAAUCUCUUGAGUUGUAAGUGGAGGCGAUGAUAUGGGGUGCCUUUUGUUACUAAAGUAACUUUAUUUAUUUAAAACCAGAUCGUCCAAAAGAAUCUGAUCAGUUAAAAUGCUAUUGCAUAUUGCUGGCUAGUCUAGAAAUGUUUCCCCAUUAGCAGCGCCAGAUCUAAUUGCUUUUGUUCUCCGGCGAAAGUGCUAUGCUGAUUGACCUUGUGUCAAAAAGAGUUUUAGCAAUUCAUAUCCCCAGCCAAUUCGUUUUGUUACAUAAGCUAAUUGGAUCCUAGUAAAAGUAGUAGGAGUGAUAAUAUUGAUAUGUAUAGUAAAAGUGCUUGUGCUGAUAGGGAAACUACUCUCCUGACCGAUCUGGUGUUAAAAGGAGAUUUAACAAUACAUUUCCGUACCAAUUCGUGUUGCUACAGAAAUGAAUGAAACGCUAGGAAUAGGCGUACCAGUGAUAGUAUUGACAGUAAUAGUAAAAAUACUGAUGGGGAAUUCAGGUUACUAAUGACCCAUCUAUCAAAAUCUUUUAUUACUCACAUUUUUGCUGUAGGAAAUCAACAUUGGAAUGAAUAUUCCCAUUUGGAAUCCCCGCCCUACUGCAUUCAACUCCCAAAAGUUUUGGCCUCAUUAAAAUUCCAACUUCUGGUGA